UCACUACGGAAUAGCUCCGGGAAACUGGAAUUAAUACCGUAUACGCCCUCCGGGGGAAAGAUUUAUCGGCGAAAGAUCGGUCCGCGUUAGAUUAGAUAGUUGGUGGGGUAAUGGCCUACCAAGUCUGCGAUCUAUAGCUGGUCUGAGAGGAUGAUCAGCCACACUGGGACUGAGACACGGCCCAGACUCCUACGGGAGGCAGCAGUGGGGAAUCUUGCACAAUGGGCGAAAGCCUGAUGCAGCCAUGCCGCGUGAAUGAUGAAGGCCUUAGGGUUGUAAAAUUCUUUCGCUAGGGACGAUAAUGACGGUACCUAGUAAAGAAGCCCCGGCUAACUUCGUGCCAGCAGCCGCGGUAAUACGAAGGGGGCUAGCGUUGUUCGGAAUUACUGGGCGUAAAGCGCGCGUAGGCGGACUAUCAAGUUGGAUGUGAAAUCCCAGGGUUCAACUCUGGAACUGCAUUCAAAACUGGUAGUCUAGAGGCCAGGAGAGGUCAGUGGAAUACCGAGUGUAGAGGUGAAAUUCGUAGAUAUUCGGUGGAACACCAGUGGCG
RNAcentral lists this ribosomal RNA (550 nucleotides) under uncultured bacterium. RNAcentral describes it as "bacterial SSU rRNA". It matches the Rfam family "Bacterial small subunit ribosomal RNA", at positions 133 to 717 of the family's 1533-position model. The record is from RNAcentral.